UCCGAGCGGCGACGGGUGAGUAACACGUGAGCAACCUGCCCCUGACUCCGGGAUAAGCGGUGGAAACGCCGUCUAAUACCGGAUACGACCCGCCACCUCAUGGUGGAGGGUGGAAAGUUUUAUCGGUCAGGGAUGGGCUCGCGGCCUAUCAGCUUGUUGGUGGGGUAACGGCCUACCAAGGCGAUUACGGGUAGCCGGCCUGAGAGGGCGACCGGCCACACUGGGACUGAGACACGGCCCAGACUCCUGCGGGAGGCAGCAGUGGGGAAUAUUGCACAAUGGGCGAAAGCCUGAUGCAGCGACGCCGCGUGGGGGAUGACGGCCUUCGGGUUGUAAACCUCUUUUACCACCAACGCAGGCUCCACGUUCUCGUGGGGUUGACGGUAGGUGGGGAAUAAGGACCGGCUAACUACGUGCCAGCAGCCGCGGUAAUACGUAGGGUCCGAGCGUUGUCCGGAAUUAUUGGGCGUAAAGAGCUCGUAGGCGGCAUGUCGCGUCUGCUGUGAAAGACCGGGGCUUAACUCCGGUUCUGCAGUGGAUACGGGCAUGCUAGAGGUAGGUAGGGGAGACUGGAAUUCCUGGUGUAGCGGUGAAAUGCGCAGAUAUCAGGAGGAACACCGGUGGCGAAGGCGGGUCUCUGGGCCUUACCUGACGCUGAGGAGCGAAAGCAUGGGGAGCGAACAGGAUUAGAUACCCUGGUAGUCCAUGCCGUAAACGUUGGGCGCUAGGUGUGGGGACUUUCCACGGUUUCCGCGCCGUAGCUAACGCAUUAAGCGCCCGCCUGGGGAGUACGCGCAAGGCUAAACUCAAAGAUUGACGGGGCCGCACAGCGCGAGCAUGUGCUAUCGAC
RNAcentral lists this ribosomal RNA (850 nucleotides) under Nocardiopsis sp. RNAcentral's name for it is "bacterial SSU rRNA". It matches the Rfam family "Bacterial small subunit ribosomal RNA", at positions 90 to 955 of the family's 1533-position model. Lineage: Bacteria; Bacillati; Actinomycetota; Actinomycetes; Streptosporangiales; Nocardiopsidaceae. The record is from RNAcentral.